Molecule: ribosomal RNA, 253 nt
Filed under: uncultured bacterium
Lineage: Bacteria
Description: partial 16S ribosomal RNA
Rfam family: Bacterial small subunit ribosomal RNA
Source: RNAcentral
UACGUAGGGGGCAAGCGUUGUCCGGAUUUAUUGGGCGUAAAGAGCGUGUAGGCGGCCAUACAGGUCAGCUGUGAAAACUCGAGGCUCAACCUCGAGACGUCGGUUGAAACCGUUUGGCUAGAGUCCGGAAGAGGAGAGUGGAAUUCCCGGCGUAGCGGUGAAAUGCGCAGAUAUCGGGAAGAACACCAGUGGCGAAGGCGUCUUCUUGGCCUGUUCUUGACGCUGAGGCGCGAAAGCUGGGGGAGCAAACGGG